GACGAACCGUGCGAACGUUAUUCGGAAUCACUGGGCUUAAAGCGCGUGUAGGCGGAUGGGAACGUCGGUUGUUGAAGGCCCCCGGCUCAACCGGGGAAUGGGCGCCGAAACGACCCGUCUGGAGGGACGUAGGGGGACCUGGAACUUCCGGUGGAGCGGUGAAAUGCGUUGAGAUCGGAAGGAACGCCCGUGGCGAAAGCGAGGUCCUGGACGUCUUCUGACGCUGAGACGCGAAAGCUAGGGUAGCGAACGGG
This 254-nucleotide ribosomal RNA is filed under the name uncultured Singulisphaera sp. RNAcentral describes it as "partial 16S ribosomal RNA". It matches the Rfam family "Bacterial small subunit ribosomal RNA", at positions 524 to 776 of the family's 1533-position model. The record is from RNAcentral. Lineage: Bacteria; Pseudomonadati; Planctomycetota; Planctomycetia; Isosphaerales; Isosphaeraceae.